UCGCUACUAUCUAGAUCUACUCUAGUUUAGAGAAGAGAGGAGAGCUCUCAUCUCUAAACCCUAGCUUUUGCUCUGUCUAUGAAUAAUGAAUAAUGAUCAAGGGGGUUGCCUCCUCUAGGGGCCAGGGGGUCUGGUUUUAUAGUCCCCUCAAGUGAACCUGGGCCGUCGGAUCAAACCGACAUUGAUUGAACGGUUAUUCUUGAUCCUUUAGGUCGGUGGAGCAUAAUUCGUGAGAUUGAGCAUGAUUGGCCACAGGAGGUGGGCGGGCGCCCAGUAGGACAGGGCGGGCGCCCUGUCCCGGACUCCGUUCGGUCUCCGCUUCCUUCCCGUGUCUUCUGGAGUCUUCUAGAUGUAAGAUAAUUGCACGGCACGUUGAUAUCUCUAUGUAAUCUCGACGUGUGGGCCUUUCUUCCUUAUUUCCUGAUAACCCCCUUCAGAAAUAGACAAACACCAAAACUCGUGGAAUUCUGUCAGAUAAAACCCUAAGUCUUGAUGUUGAUUUCAUUUGGAUCCUUUUCUUUGUUUAUUUGAUAGUUAAAUUUGAUACUUAAGGACCGUCAACAAACUCCCCCAAGCAUACCUCUUGCUCGUCCCUGAGUAAGGAUAGACUCAGCUAUGGAUCAUAAGUUGUUGCAAUAUCUUUAAAAAAUUGACGGUACACAUGCUUUUAAAUGAGGUCUCAUCUCUAAGUUAGAGUAAACUGUCAAGACUUAAAACUUACUUACUUUACCUUUCACCAUGGGUCUUGUAACCGUCACUUCUGUCUUGAGUGGUUAAAAGAUAGAACAGUCCCGUCAAGUGCCAUGUCUCUUAUUCUUGAUCAGCUAUAGCUCUGGAGUUUUUUUUUUGUAGAUUUUCAAAUAAAACUCAGAGAUUCCUUUGUAUGACUCUCUCAUAUCUCUCUUUUGUGGUAUUUCUGGAUCCUUACCAAGGCAGUGAUGGUAUAUGCCUUCUCUCAAAAUAUAUGGUAUUUGUGGUAUAAGGCAUAGUGACAUUGCCUUCUCUCUCACCCUACUCUAAUAAGGCUUUAAUAUCUGGAGCUCAUAGGUGGGAGAUAAAGUAUACAUACUUACAAGACAUUUAUUGUAUAGUCAAACCAUGGAUCCAAAGAAACAAAUCAAUAAGCCAAAUCAAGAUGUGCAUGUGUGGCGAAUGAAUGGUGUAUAGUGAUGAUGGUGAUAACAAUGGUGAAAGUCUAAUUCUACUUUUGCUCUUAUGAGGGGAUACAUACCUUCCUUGCUUUUUGAAACUUUAUGAGGAGAAUGAGAUGCUCUUCUUUUUCUUUCCUCUCAGGUGGGUAUCUUGUACCCCUAAUUCUACUGUCGGACACUUGUCCAUUUUUACCUCUCGUCUCACUUUUUCUUUCUUUCGAGGUUCCGGGCACAUGCCCCUUUUUAUUUCCUCGUUUAUUAUUAUUUUUUUUUUUUCUUCUCUUUUAUUUUUUUUAGAGCACUCAUCUCCUGAGAUAAUAUAGCAAGUGGUAGUAGCAAGAUAACUGGAGCAUUUAUUUCACAGGGAAUAACAGGGAUAGAAAAAUAUUUUUGGUUAUUCUCUCCCGGAUUAGGAGUAGAAUGAUUUUGGGUGAAAUUGGAGAUGUGGAUGGUACUUCCAGAGUAGAAGUAGCAUAUAUGAGUGAACGUGCAAGUGAAUCUUGAUUUAACCACAUGACUAGCUCCUAAGGGUCUACACAGCUUGACCACACUCAAUGCUCAUAAGCAGUAAAUAAAUGUGUGGCUCAAAGUCUAGCAAGCAUGUAUAUAUGGCUGUGGUAGGAAUUUAAACUUUCAUCAUACAGGAACUCAUCAUGCAAUAUUUUAAAGAUUUUUCAAAGAUAAAAUUCUCCAGAAUUCUAGCAUCUCUAGGAAUAGAUAAACAGCAGCUCAACCUUCCCAUAUCAUAUCCGUUAACAACUUAGAUUUCAGAUCAAGUUUUCAUCCCACAAGUUUAGAUCUAGAGCAAGCUUUAAAUUAUAACAGUUAUGUCUAAACUUGAGAGAGAACUUCAAAUUUGCAAAUUAGGCAGAGCAACUAUUCAUCAUAUCCAUGCUAGAGUUUUAUUAUUAAGAUUCAUAGCAAACUUUAUUUAUUUAUUUAUUUAUUUAUUUAGCAAACUAAGAAAAGAUAUAUAUAUAUAUAAGCAUAAAAUCUUUAUUUGGUUUUUCAUAGUUUAUGUAUUUUAAUAUUCUAAUAUAAUAUAAGUAUAAAGAUAGGUAGAAAUACUUAGCGAGAUAAAUAGGGGUGCUCUCCCCCAAGCUGAAUUUUGACGUAAUUUCUCUUGAUGUAGCUAGCAGGUGGCAGAGGUGUAUUUGAAAGUCAGCAGCAUUCUGACAGCGAUUAGAAUGUCCUCCAUCUGCUAGUCUUCUUGAUUCUUAAAUUCUGUGGAGCUCAAAUAGACAACAAAGCUUGUGGAACUAAUUAAGUGUUAGCAUAAAUAUCUAGCCUUCAUCACGUUGAGCUUCCUUAAUAAAUAUUACUCCCUGUUUUUAUAUUUUUAUUUUAUAAAGUAGAAAAGAAAUAUUUAUUUUAUUUUUAUGCCACCACAGUGAAGGUACUUAUGGGUUUUAUGCCACUCGUAUACUCACAUGGGGCUUAGUAUUUUUUAAAAUUUUUAUUUUCUUUUCAAGAUAGCAUGAUUAACUAAUAAUCUAUUUAAGGAAAGUAAAUAAAUAAAUGGAAAAGGGAAUGCAGAAAGGAUAAAUAUGGAUAACUACCAAUCUUACCUUUCGGUGAGGGUUCAAUGUUUUAAGUCUUCUUGUCAAGACUUCUUAUCGUGUUCAUUCUUCAGGUGCGUCAUUUGAUUCAGGUGCGGACCUUGACGUCUGCACCUUUUAAUACGGUGUCACCCGUGUUCUUCGUUUGCCCAGCAGUUCGAAGUGCGGUGUUAGCAGUAUCUUGCUCAGUGUGUUUGUGCUCGUAGUGUACCUGCUCAUAGAGACAAGGCAGAGAUCAAGUGCAUGGGCCCUGUUGGUGGAAAACACCACAGAACCAAAAGUGUAUUUGUUCUUCUCUAACCUUAAGCAUAGUGAGCAAGACAAAGUUGAUGGAUGAUAAGUUCAUGAGUGUAGCACUUAUAACAUUUGUCAGAUCAGAUCGCUCAACCUUAUGGAAAGAUAAUCUAUCUAUGUAUAUGUCUUUUUCUUUAUAUCUCUCAAUGAUUAAAUGUGUAACAUUUUAGCUCAUAUGAUUAGGAGUGUGGGAUCAUGGAGGUAGUACUAAGAACAAGGAUUAAAGGACUAAACAUGUUGAAUCAGUUGGGUUGGUUAAUCUAGAGUUGUAAAUCAUACACGUUUGUCUCUUUUAUUUAUAUGAACGCCAGAACCAAGGAGAAGCUUAUAAAAGUGAUAGUCAAGUACCUUAGGAUGUUACCUUGCUUGAAAAGUGAUGGUACAGUAUCACCUUGUGGAAGCUUUCCUUUCUUAGCGGUUGUGCAUCGUAUUCGUGGCACCCUCCAUGGAUCAUCUCUCUAUGAUGAAUGAGCUAUGUCCUUCUUGUGCAAAUUGUUAAACUUCAUGUGUCACUCUCUUCGUCUCUGAUGUGAGUUUAUCUCAGGACUUCCCAAAUCGAUAUUGAAAGUUUUUCUGCAGGGGUUAGUCCGACAAAAUAUACCAAUAUCUACUCAAGUAGUUUUUUUUAGUUCAAUAACCAAACUAGACUCCAUGUCUAAUCAGAUUAAGGAAGGCUAUUUAACCUAAGCACCAUGCUUAAUUUAAAUGCCAAUGGAAGUAUGGCGAGUACUUCCAAACCAACACUUGCUAGUAAAUAGACAAAGGUAGCAUGACAGCAUUUAUAGAGAUCUACUCAAGUGGAGAUAAAGUAGUGUGAUUAGUAUUUAACAAAUUGAGCAUGUCUCAAAGGUAGGGACAACCAGCAUAGCAACAUGGCAAAGGAUGUUUUUAUGUAAAGUACUCCCCCAAGCUUGAAUUUUGCAAAAUUCAAGUUUGGAUGAAUUUAAUUCAAUGUUGUAUGAUGAUUGGUUGGACAUACCUUGUGCUUGUCAUUCAUCCGAUCUUCUUGCUCCAAUCCUAGAAAGGUUAGUGAUAAGAAUACCCGAAGGAAUAUUUUUUUACAAUUAUCCUUAUAUGCUCAAUACACAAGAUAAUGUUGCAAAUAAUUAAAAGCUCAUGUUACGAUCUGAUCAAUGCUUAUUUUAAGACACUAAACUUGUCCUUGGGAAACCAUCAGUUUAUGUUGGCGAAGUGGUUUCCCCUCCGACGCCAACCUAUACCUAGAUCAACUCAAUGAGAUCUGCAAUAUUUAUUAUAGACAUAUGCAUCGACAAUCGCCCUUUUAAAGUUUUUAUAAAUAGAAAGGAAGAGGGGGUUGGAGAUCUCAAGUGUGGUGAUGUCGGAGAGACCAAUAGAUUGGGAAGAUGUUGCAUAUGAGCAUGGAGUCAACAAAGUGGCUAUGAAAUAAAUUCCAUGCUCAUUAAUGUUAUCUUCGUCUCCAAUCUGAUUGUUCAGAGUUUCUCUUGGAUUUGUCUCACUUAUGUCCUCUUCUAUAGUUGGAUGAAUCUCAUCUUCAAAGGGAGUCAAGAACUCACCAUUUGAAAUUGAGCCAAAGUCAGAAACCAUUAAGGCUUCUUCCUUAUUCAUCCAUUCUACACAUUCUAGCCAUUU
RNAcentral lists this long non-coding RNA (4615 nucleotides) under Sorghum bicolor (sorghum). RNAcentral describes it as "long non-coding RNA (SBIC_LNC007065)". The record is from RNAcentral. Lineage: Eukaryota; Viridiplantae; Streptophyta; Magnoliopsida; Poales; Poaceae.